AUAAGCCCUUCAUUUUCUUUUAAUUGUAAAUUCAUGUACUUAGUGUCUUGAUGAAUCAAUGAUUAAUGAUUAAAUAAACUAAGAUUUGAUCAUGACUGUGAUGGAACACUAAGAUUGUGUUCAAUCGAUGGACCUUUAUUGAUACUUGAAAGAAUCAAAUACAAGAACAAAAUAAAGUAGUAAAGAAAUGAAUUGAGAAAUCUCAAUUUGGUUACAAUCUCUCUGUUACCUUCUCUCUCAAAGGUGCACAAUGAUAGACUCCCUAUUAUCCACCGAUAUAGUAGAUUAGGGAAGAAGGAUUAAUAUGGGCACAUGUGAAUAUUAGAGUAGGCACAUGUGAGUUAGUUUUUGAGAAUUAAAUCUGGAAUCUGUGCACCUUUGAGAGAGAAGGUAACAGAGAGAUUGUAACCGAAUUGGGAUUUCUCAGUUCGUUUCUUUAUUAUUUUAUUUUGUUCUUGUAUUCAAUUCUUUCAAGUAUCAAUAAAGGUCCAUCGAUAGAACACAAUCUUAGUGUUCCAUCAUAAUGUAAUUUAGAAAUUACUUUCUAAGUUUUGCCAUUAGUAAUUAUAUUCACACAUACAUAUUUUGUACGGAUACAAACCUCUUUAUUAAAUGUAUUAAUAAAAGAGUCUAAUGUUCAAACUACAUGAAAAUCAUAACAAACAAAAGGAUAGACGAAUUGAACAAACAAAAACAACACAAGUGAAACCUGAGCAAAACAAAAGAAAAAUAAGAACAAAACAAACUUAAAAAAACUUACCACAAGAAGCCCAAAAACAGCUGAAGAUUGCAAACUAAAACAGGUAACACCGAGGGAGAGCAAAUAGCCAAGCAGCUUGUUGAUGAAAAAAUAUGCUUCCUAAGUAGUCCUUAAAUCGUGGAGGUAGUGACUAUAACCAGAAUAUUUGAGAACAACUUUAGAGGGCUAAAAUAAUAGAAGCAUACGUCAAACCACUCGUGAUCCACUAAUACAGCUCAAACGAAAACAAUUCCCCCUUUGUCAACAAUGUACUUCAAGUGAUUUGGAAUUUCACAGUGCUAAGCUUGUGAAGGAAAUAAAGAGGUCUGUUUCUCAGUAAUUAGAUCCUCCCCUGUCUGAAACAAGGUAUUGAGAUCAAAUUCUAAAGAUCCUUAAUCGACUAGUCAUCCUUCUUCCAUGUGUUUGACAUAUGUUCAGCUUCCUUGCUGCACACAUUAAAAGGAGAGUUGAAAUCUGAGACUUUUUUUUUAUGAAGUGUGGAGUUUGGGUAGGGGGGACCUCUAAAAAAUUUGACAUUUGAAUUAGGCAAACAUGUAUUUAUAAUGGAGGAUGAAUUGAUAUAUGAGGAACUGACUUGUUUGAUUGAGUAUGGGCUUGCAAAAGGGCACAUUUUGCCUAAAAAUGAGGGUUAUGAUCCAGAAGCAUUAGUAAUUAUAUUCAUGUUGAUGAUGUUCUUCUAAAAGCGAUAAACUAAAGAGACACCAAGUUACAUGAAACCCGACUGUCAAUGAUGUGAAAUUAUACGAUUUAUUGAAAAUGCUGAUGAUAUGAUGUAAACAAAAUCUAUGAUGAAUCUUGGUCAUGUUCACCCAUUCUUUGGAUUGUUCACCGUUUAAUAUUAUGCCAACAUGUUUAUUUGAAAGGAAGCAUAUAUCCUCGUGAGUACAAUUGUUUUUAGAUGUUUUAAAAAUCAUCCUCAUGAAUUUGCACUCCUCUUCCACAAGAAAUACUAAGGGUAGAAGAUGCUUAUUUGAAUCAACAAAUGUGGUAAUUAAUAACUUCCCUCGAUACUUGUCAUACAAGUGAGUGUCGUCGAUUUGAAUAAUU
This 1807-nucleotide long non-coding RNA is filed under the name Cucumis sativus (cucumber). Its description in RNAcentral is "long non-coding RNA (CSAT_LNC002157)". Lineage: Eukaryota; Viridiplantae; Streptophyta; Magnoliopsida; Cucurbitales; Cucurbitaceae. The record is from RNAcentral.